This is a long non-coding RNA of Mastomys coucha (southern multimammate mouse), 561 nucleotides long. RefSeq lists it as uncharacterized. Lineage: Eukaryota; Metazoa; Chordata; Mammalia; Rodentia; Muridae. The transcript is spliced from 3 exons. The record is from RefSeq and is a predicted model, not a curated record.
GAUCAGGGAAAGCUAGAGCCUUCUGCAGACCCUGAGCUGGUCAGGGCUGAGAGCUGGGGUCAUGACCCUCACCUUCAUUUCCUGUACCUGUCCUUCCCAGAGCCUCCUCCAUCCACCAACUCUACCAUGGUGAUCAUUGCUGUCCUGGUUGUCCUUGGAGUUGUGGCCAUCAUUGGAGCUGUGGUGGCUUUAGUGAGGAGAAACAGAGGUGGACAAGGAGGGGACUAUGCUCCAGCUCCAGCAUGAAGACAGCUGCCUGGAGUGGACUGAGUGGCAGAAGUUGUGUUCAGGUCUCUCCUGUGACAUCCAGAGUCCUCAGGUCUCUUUAGACAACAGUGUCUGAUGUUCCCUGUGAUCCUCGGGGCUCAAUGUGAAGAACUGUGGAGCCCAGCCUGUCCUGCACACCAGGACCCUGUCCCUGCAUGGCCUGUGUUCCCUUCCACAGCCAACCUUCCUGGUCUGAAGUGGAAAGUCAGAGUUCUUUGGAAAGUUGGUUGGAUGGCGUUUCUGGGGCAAACACAUGAAGGAGUGUUUCAUUAAAGUGGACGCAGUAGGAAAGGC